RNAcentral lists this long non-coding RNA (299 nucleotides) under Vigna radiata. RNAcentral describes it as "long non-coding RNA (VRAD_LNC007610)". Lineage: Eukaryota; Viridiplantae; Streptophyta; Magnoliopsida; Fabales; Fabaceae. The record is from RNAcentral.
GAUCUGCAGCCGUCCAAACAAAGCAUCAUCGUACUAUGAGUAAAAGCUAAAACCUGUCCAGUUAUUAUUCGCAUGAGCACCUGCAAAAUAAAAAAGAAAAGACUUAACAGUAGACACAUCAGAAUUUCACACCCCAAUUUAGGGUUUACCUUUAUUCGCACUUCUUAGUGUGCCACCCAUUUCCUCCUCCGCCGCCGUCAGCAGCAAUGGCAGACACAUCUUCUCCUCCGACGGACCAACUCGCAGUCACCACCCUCGACGACGAGGUACCCAAGGCCCAAUUCUCGGAUCGCGUCCCG